Pygocentrus nattereri (red-bellied piranha) is the source of this 371-nucleotide non-coding RNA. NCBI's taxonomy places the organism in Eukaryota, Metazoa, Chordata, Actinopteri, Characiformes, Serrasalmidae. The record is from the annotation of a RefSeq genome assembly.
CGCUCACCAUGAAGAUCACGCUCUCAUUAUUACUGAUACUACUCAGCUUCAGCAGUGUGAAAUGUGAAAGUAUGGAAUCAUUAGAAACUGGAGUUCAGCUAAAACCUGGAGAAACUCUGAGUCUCUCCUGCAGAGGAUCUGGAUUUACUUUUAGCAGCUACGACAUGAACUGGAUCAUACAACAGGCUGGAAAACCGCUGGAGUGGAUUGGAUACAUUUCCAACCUUGCAUACAGCACAAACUAUGCGAAAUCUUAUCAAGGCCGAGCUGAAAUCACCAGAGACAAUUCUAAAAGUAUGGCCUAUCUGAAACUGUCUGGUGUGACAGUCGAGGACUCAGCUGUGUAUUACUGUGCAAGAGACACACAGUGA